AUUGCUUCUCGGCCUUUUGGCUAAGAUCAAGUGUAGUAUGAUCUAAUUUUUUGACCUUUU
Oryctolagus cuniculus (rabbit) is the source of this 60-nucleotide small nuclear RNA. Its record names the gene U2. It matches the Rfam family "U2 spliceosomal RNA". From Rfam's summary of the family: U2 is a small nuclear RNA (snRNA) component of the spliceosome (involved in pre-mRNA splicing). Complementary binding between U2 snRNA (in an area lying towards the 5' end but 3' to hairpin I) and the branchpoint sequence (BPS) of the intron results the bulging out of an unpaired adenosine, on the BPS, which initiates a nucleophilic attack at the intronic 5' splice site, thus starting the first of two transesterification reactions that mediate splicing. Lineage: Eukaryota; Metazoa; Chordata; Mammalia; Lagomorpha; Leporidae. The record is from Ensembl.